Molecule: ribosomal RNA, 498 nt
Filed under: Cardioglossa pulchra (black long-fingered frog)
Lineage: Eukaryota; Metazoa; Chordata; Amphibia; Anura; Arthroleptidae
Description: partial 16S ribosomal RNA
Rfam family: Bacterial large subunit ribosomal RNA
Source: RNAcentral
AACCGUGCGAAGGUAGCACAAUCACUUGUUUUCUAAAUAAGGACUAGUAUGAAUGGCGCCACGAAGACUAUACUGUCUCCUCUCUGCAAUCAGUGAAACUGAUCCCCCCGUGAAAAAGCGGGAAUUACAUUAUAAGACGAGAAGACCCCAUGGAGCUUUAAGUAAAUAACAACUGUCAUACCAAUACCACAAAAAUUUUGACAGACCUGAUUAUUAACUUUCGGUUGGGGUGACCACGGAGUAAAACAAAACCUCCGCAAUGAACGAGUCCAGCUCUAAUUUAAGAACUACACCUCCAAAAAUCAUUACAUUGACAUUUAUUGACCCAAACCCUUGAUCAAUGGACCAAGUUACCCUGGGGAUAACAGCGCAAUCCAUUUCUAGAGCCCCUAUCAACAAAUGGGUUUACGACCUCGAUGUUGGAUCAGGGUGUCCUAGUAGUGCAGCCGCUACUGAAGGUUUGUUUGUUCAACAAUUAAAACCCUACGUGAUCUGAGU